GACGAACGCUGGCGGCGUGCUUAACACAUGCAAGUCGAACGGAAAGGCCCUGCUUUUGUGGGGUGCUCGAGUGGCGAACGGGUGAGUAACACGUGAGUAACCUGCCCUUGACUUUGGGAUAACUUCAGGAAACUGGGGCUAAUACCGGAUAGGAGCUCCUGCUGCAUGGUGGGGGUUGGAAAGUUUCGGCGGUUGGGGAUGGACUCGCGGCUUAUCAGCUUGUUGGUGGGGUAGUGGCUUACCAAGGCUUUGACGGGUAGCCGGCCUGAGAGGGUGACCGGCCACAUUGGGACUGAGAUACGGCCCAGACUCCUACGGGAGGCAGCAGUGGGGAAUAUUGCACAAUGGGCGGAAGCCUGAUGCAGCAACGCCGCGUGCGGGAUGACGGCCUUCGGGUUGUAAACCGCUUUCGCCUGUGACGAAGCGUGAGUGACGGUAAUGGGUAAAGAAGCACCGGCUAACUACGUGCCAGCAGCCGCGGUGAUACGUAGGGUGCGAGCGUUGUCCGGAUUUAUUGGGCGUAAAGGGCUCGUAGGUGGUUGAUCGCGUCGGAAGUGUAAUCUUGGGGCUUAGCCCUGAGCGUGCUUUCGAUACGGGUUGACUUGAGGAAGGUAGGGGAGAAUGGAAUUCCUGGUGGAGCGGUGGAAUGCGCAGAUAUCAGGAGGAACACCAGUGGCGAAGGCGGUUCUCUGGGCCUUUCCUGACGCUGAGGAGCGAAAGCGUGGGGAGCGAACAGGCUUAGAUACCCUGGUAGUCCACGCUGUAAACGGUGGGUACUAGGUGUGGGGUCCAUUCCACGGGUUCCGUGCCGUAGCUAACGCUUUAAGUACCCCGCCUGGGGAGUACGGCCGCAAGGCUAAAACUCAAAGGAAUUGGCGGGGCCCCGCACAAGCGGCGGAGCAUGCGGAUUAAUUCGAUGCAACGCGUAGAACCUUACCUGGGUUUGACAUGGAUCGGGAGUGCUCAGAGAUGGGUGUGCCUCUUUUGGGGUCGGUUCACAGGUGGUGCAUGGCUGUCGUCAGCUCGUGUCGUGAGAUGUUGGGUUAAGUCCCGCAACGAGCGCAACCCUUGUUCACUGUUGCCAGCACGUUAUGGUGGGGACUCAGUGGAGACCGCCGGGGUCAACUCGGAGGAAGGUGGGGAUGACGUCAAGUCAUCAUGCCCCUUAUGUCCAGGGCUUCACGCAUGCUACAAUGGCUGGUACAGAGAGUGGCGAGCCUGUGAGGGUGAGCGAAUCUCGGAAAGCCGGUCUCAGUUCGGAUUGGGGUCUGCAACUCGACCUCAUGAAGUCGGAGUCGCUAGUAAUCGCAGAUCAGCAACGCUGCGGUGAAUACGUUCCCGGG
RNAcentral lists this ribosomal RNA (1343 nucleotides) under uncultured bacterium. RNAcentral's name for it is "16S ribosomal RNA". It matches the Rfam family "Bacterial small subunit ribosomal RNA", at positions 28 to 1378 of the family's 1533-position model. The record is from RNAcentral.